UGGUAGUUGGGACCUUGUCCCUGUGAGAGUAGGACGUCGCCAAGC
This 45-nucleotide ribosomal RNA is filed under the name Bacillus cereus. Lineage: Bacteria; Bacillati; Bacillota; Bacilli; Caryophanales; Bacillaceae. The record is from RNAcentral.